UGGAGAGUUUGAUCCUGGCUCAGGACGAACGCUGGCGGCGUGCUUAACACAUGCAAGUCGAGCGGUAAGGCCCUUCGGGGUACACGAGCGGCGAACGGGUGAGUAACACGUGGGUGAUCUGCCUCGCACUCUGGGAUAAGCCUGGGAAACUGGGUCUAAUACCGGAUAUGACCACGAAUCGCAUGGUUUGUGGUGGAAAGGUUUACUGGUGCGAGAUGGGCCCGCGGCCUAUCAGCUUGUUGGUGGGGUAACGGCCUACCAAGGCGACGACGGGUAGCCGGCCUGAGAGGGCGACCGGCCACACUGGGACUGAGACACGGCCCAGACUCCUACGGGAGGCAGCAGUGGGGAAUAUUGCACAAUGGGCGAAAGCCUGAUGCAGCGACGCCGCGUGAGGGAUGACGGCCUUCGGGUUGUAAACCUCUUUCGACAGGGACGAAGCGCAAGUGACGGUACCUGUAGAAGAAGCACCGGCCAACUACGUGCCAGCAGCCGCGGUA
RNAcentral lists this ribosomal RNA (500 nucleotides) under Nocardia otitidiscaviarum. RNAcentral's name for it is "bacterial SSU rRNA". It matches the Rfam family "Bacterial small subunit ribosomal RNA", at positions 1 to 522 of the family's 1533-position model. Lineage: Bacteria; Bacillati; Actinomycetota; Actinomycetes; Mycobacteriales; Nocardiaceae. The record is from RNAcentral.